GAGGUUAUAGUCAACUAUGACACCUGAAUUGCAUCCAGGAAGUGCUUAAACUAAAGCUAAUCUU
This 64-nucleotide transfer RNA is filed under the name Lysmata debelius (fire shrimp). RNAcentral describes it as "tRNA-Ala". The record is from RNAcentral. Lineage: Eukaryota; Metazoa; Arthropoda; Malacostraca; Decapoda; Hippolytidae.